Molecule: transfer RNA, 84 nt
Filed under: Anaerolineae bacterium
Lineage: Bacteria; Bacillati; Chloroflexota; Anaerolineae
Description: tRNA-Leu
Rfam family: tRNA
About the family: Transfer RNA (tRNA) molecules are approximately 80 nucleotides in length. Their secondary structure includes four short double-helical elements and three loops (D, anti-codon, and T loops).
Source: RNAcentral
GCCCAGGUGGUGGAAUUGGUAGACACGCAGGUCUCAGAAGCCUGUGCUUAACCGCAUGGGGGUUCGAGUCCCCCUUGGGCACCA